CAGAUGCAAGAUUCAGAGAAAGAAAUUUGAAAGAAAGUAAAGAUCUCAGUUCUGGAUGGAUCUCAUGAACGAUUUGAAGGAAAGACAUCUCUUCAAUGGAAGUCAUGACCACACAUGCCUUGUGCGGUUUGUCUUCAUGGAUAUGCUACAGAGAGAUCUUGAUGAAUGCAAGGACAGGUGGAAUAAACAUACCAUAAGACCUGUUAAACAAUCUUGCUGUCCAUCUGGUAAACCAGAUGUGAUGUAUCAUCUACCUCACAGGUUUGGUGGAACAGACUGUGGUUUCCCAGUCUCCCAGGAGCAAUUGGGACAGUUUGUGACAGAGACUAACAACAUUCAAUGUGGAGAUGAACACCUUCAGGCACAUUUUGAGAACCUCCAGAGACAGUGUGGCCUAGCACAUCCACAGAGUUGGGAAUCAUGUGUCGAAAACUAUAUCAAACUGAAAAACAUGGCGGACUUAUAAACAAACAAGAAUCCAAAUUUGAAGGUCGCACACAAACACUAAACAGUGUCAUAACUGAACAGGUUUGACAAGUUAAAUAGUUAGCAUUUUGUUUUGUUGUUAUGCAUUUGACCUUAAUAAAGCCCAAACCCAGGGGA
This is a long non-coding RNA of Xiphophorus maculatus (southern platyfish), 603 nucleotides long. RefSeq lists it as uncharacterized. The transcript is spliced from 3 exons. NCBI's taxonomy places the organism in Eukaryota, Metazoa, Chordata, Actinopteri, Cyprinodontiformes, Poeciliidae. The record is from RefSeq and is a predicted model, not a curated record.